GCUGUAUUAGUUCUGAAUAAACUGUUCCUCCUAGAGGUGUAUACUGAAAGAUUGUAAUACUGAAAGAUUGUGACCACUUUUAAAGUCAGUGAUAACCCCACAUUCUUCUAGAAAGCGGAGACAUAGCUACCCAUAUUAUAUUGGCUAAAGGCAUACAAUAUCAUUUAGCCAGGUGAUAAGCCAUGAUAUCACCUAAAGGUAUUUUUGUCUGCUGUGGUUUUCCCAUUUAAGGAUUAUACAUUUACACACAAUAGGCACACAGUAUUUU
Paramuricea clavata is the source of this 268-nucleotide non-coding RNA. The record is from the annotation of a GenBank genome assembly. Lineage: Eukaryota; Metazoa; Cnidaria; Anthozoa; Malacalcyonacea; Plexauridae.